This 3368-nucleotide ribosomal RNA is filed under the name Parasutterella excrementihominis. RNAcentral's name for it is "23S ribosomal RNA". It matches the Rfam family "Bacterial large subunit ribosomal RNA". Lineage: Bacteria; Pseudomonadati; Pseudomonadota; Betaproteobacteria; Burkholderiales; Sutterellaceae. The record is from RNAcentral.
GUUAUAGGAUCAAGUGACUAAGUGCAUGCGGCGGAUGCCUUGGCGAUCACAGGCGAAGAAAGACGCGGCAGCCUGCGAAAAGCUGCGGGGAGCUGGCAAACGAGCUUUGAUCCGCAGAUAUCUGAAUGGGGGAACCCACACCGCAAGGUGUAUCCGUAGCUGAAUACAUAGGUUACGGAGGCGAACGAGGAGAACUGAAACAUCUAAGUAUCCUCAGGAAAAGAAAUCAACCGAGAUUCCGGCAGUAGCGGCGAGCGAACCCGGAGGAGCCCAGCUUUUGAUAGUACGAACUUUAGCCGAAAGGACCUGGAAAGGCCUGCUAUAGUGGGUGAUAGCCCCGUAGGCGAAAGAGUUGGUACGGUACUAAGGAAGCGAGAAGUAGAGCGGGACACGUGGAAUCCUGUUCGAAGACGGGGGGACCAUCCUCCAAGGCUAAAUACUCGUGAUCGACCGAUAGUGAACCAGUACCGUGAGGGAAAGGCGAAAAGAACCCCGGGAGGGGAGUGAAAUAGAACCUGAAACCGCAUGCAUACAAACAGUAGGAGCCUUUACGGAGGUGACUGCGUACCUUUUGCAUAAUGGGUCAGCGACUUACAUUCUGUGGCGAGCUUAACCGAAUAGGGGAGGCGCAGCGAAAGCGAGUUCGAAAUGAGCGUUCAGUCGCAGGGUGUAGACCCGAAACCAGAUGAGCUAUCCAUGGCCAGGUUGAAGGUGUGGUAACACACACUGGAGGACCGAACCGACUAGUGUUGCAAAAUUAGCGGAUGAGCUGUGGAUAGGGGUGAAAGGCCAAACAAAUCUGGAGAUAGCUGGUUCUCCCCGAAAACUAUUGAGGUAGUGCCUCGUGUGUCGCUCCAGGGGGUAGAGCACUGUUUUGGCUAGGGGGACAUGGAGUCUUACCAAACCAAGGCAAACUCCGAAUACCUGGAAGCGUAAGCACGGGAGACAGAGCACCGGGUGCUAACGUCCGGACUCAAAAGGGAAACAACCCAGACCGCCGGCUAAGGUCCCAAAUAACAGCUAAGUGGAAAACGAAGUGGAAAGGCCGUGACAACCAGGAAGUUGGCUUAGAAGCAGCCAUCCUUCAAAGAAAGCGUAAUAGCUCACUGGUCGAGUCCUUCUGCGCGGAAGAUGUAACGGGGCUAAGCUGUUAACCGAAGCCGCGGAUGCGCUGGUUAUCCAGUGCGUGGUAGGGGAGCGUUCUGUAAGUCUGCGAAGGCGGUUCGAGAGGACUGCUGGAGAUAUCAGAAGUGCGAAUGCUGACAUGAGUAACGUUAAAGCAGGUGAAAAGCCUGCUCGCCGUAAGCCCAAGGAUUCCUGCUCUACGUUCAUCGGAGCAGGGUGAGUCGGCUCCUAAGGUCAGGCCGAAAGGCGUAGCCGAUGGGAAUCAGGUUAAUAUUCCUGAACCUGCGUCAGAUGCGAUGGGGGGACGGAGCAUGGAAGAUCAUCCGGGUGUUGGAAGUCCCGGUUGUUUAGCGUAGGAGGUCUGCAGGCAAAUCCGCAGACGCAUCUCCAAGGCAAAGACACGUGCCGCCACGGCGGCGAAGUGAUCGGAAGUGCUUCCAAGAAAAGCCUCUAAGCCCCAGUCUGACGCGGACCGUACCGCAAACCGACACUGGUGGGCGAGCUGAAUAUGCUCAGGCGCUUGAGAGAACUCGGGAGAAGGAACUCGGCAAAUUGACACCGUAACUUCGGAAGAAGGUGUGCCGUAGUACCGUGAGAGGAGAGACACCUUGAGCGGGAAACGGUCUCAGAGAAUAGGUGGCUGCGACUGUUUAUUAAAAACACAGCACUCUGCAAAGUCGAAAGACGACGUAUAGGGUGUGAUGCCUGCCCGGUGCUGGAAGAUUAAUUGAUGGGGUGAGAGCCCUUGAUCGAAGUCCCAGUAAACGGCGGCCGUAACUAUAACGGUCCUAAGGUAGCGAAAUUCCUUGUCGGGUAAGUUCCGACCUGCACGAAUGGCAUAACGAUGGCCACACUGUCUCCUCCCGAGACUCAGUGAAGUUGAAAUGUUUGUGAUGAUGCAAUCUACCCGCGGCUAGACNCUAAGCCCCAGUCUGACGCGGACCGUACCGCAAACCGACACUGGUGGGCGAGCUGAAUAUGCUCAGGCGCUUGAGAGAACUCGGGAGAAGGAACUCGGCAAAUUGACACCGUAACUUCGGAAGAAGGUGUGCCGUAGUACCGUGAGAGGAGAGACACCUUGAGCGGGAAACGGUCUCAGAGAAUAGGUGGCUGCGACUGUUUAUUAAAAACACAGCACUCUGCAAAGUCGAAAGACGACGUAUAGGGUGUGAUGCCUGCCCGGUGCUGGAAGAUUAAUUGAUGGGGUGAGAGCCCUUGAUCGAAGUCCCAGUAAACGGCGGCCGUAACUAUAACGGUCCUAAGGUAGCGAAAUUCCUUGUCGGGUAAGUUCCGACCUGCACGAAUGGCAUAACGAUGGCCACACUGUCUCCUCCCGAGACUCAGUGAAGUUGAAAUGUUUGUGAUGAUGCAAUCUACCCGCGGCUAGACGGAAAGACCCCAUGAACCUUUACUGCAGCUUUGCAUUGAACUGUGAACCGAUUUGUGUAGGAUAGGUGGGAGGCAGAGAAGAGGCCACGCCAGUGGCCUUGGAGCCGACCUUGAAAUACCACCCUGAUUUGUUUGCGGUUCUAACCACGGACAGUGAUCCUGUCUUGGGACCGUGCAUGGUAGGCAGUUUGACUGGGGCGGUCUCCUCCUAAAGGGUAACGGAGGAGUACGAAGGUACGCUAGGUACGGUCGGAAAUCGUGCUGAUAGUGCAAUGGCAAAAGCGUGCUUGACUGCGAGAGCAACAACUCGAGCAGAUGCGAAAGCAGGUCAUAGUGAUCCGGUGGCUCUGAAUGGAAGGGCCAUCGCUCAACGGAUAAAAGGUACUCUGGGGAUAACAGGCUGAUACCGCCCAAGAGUUCAUAUCGACGGCGGUGUUUGGCACCUCGAUGUCGGCUCAUCUCAUCCUGGGGCUGUAGUCGGUCCCAAGGGUAUGGCUGUUCGCCAUUUAAAGAGGUACGUGAGCUGGGUUUAAAACGUCGUGAGACAGUUUGGUCCCUAUCUGCCGUGGGCGUUGGAAGAUUGACGGGGGCUGCUCCUAGUACGAGAGGACCGGAGUGGACGCACCUCUGGUGUACCGGUUGUCACGCCAGUGGCAUUGCCGGGUAGCUAAGUGCGGAAGAGAUAACCGCUGAAAGCAUCUAAGCGGGAAACUUGCCUGAAGAUGAGUCUUCCCGGAGGUUGAACCUCCCUCAAGAGUCGUCCGAGACCAGGACGUCGAUAGGUCAGGUGUGUAAGCGCUGUAAGGCGUUAAGCUAACUGAUACUAAUUGCUCGUGAGGCUUGAUCCUAUAACC